This 1339-nucleotide ribosomal RNA is filed under the name uncultured bacterium. Its description in RNAcentral is "bacterial SSU rRNA". It matches the Rfam family "Bacterial small subunit ribosomal RNA". The record is from RNAcentral.
GCAGGCUUAACACAUGCAAGUCGAACGAUAUAGUGGCAGACGGGUGAGUAACGCGUGGAAACGUGCCUUUCACUACGGAAUAGCUUUUGGAAACGAAAGGUAAUACCGUAUACGCCCUCCGGGGGAAAGAUUUAUCGGUGAAAGAUCGGUCCGCGUUAGAUUAGCUAGUUGGUGAGGUAAUGGCUCACCAAGGCGACGAUCUAUAGCUGGUCUGAGAGGAUGAUCAGCCACACUGGGACUGAGACACGGCCCAGACUCCUACGGGAGGCAGCAGUGGGGAAUAUUGCACAAUGGGCGCAAGCCUGAUGCAGCCAUGCCGCGCGAAUGAUGAAGGCCUUAGGGUUGUAAAAUUCUUUCGCUAGGGAUGAUAAUGACAGUACCUAGUAAAGAAGCCCCGGCUAACUUCGUGCCAGCAGCCGCGGUAAUACGAAGGGGGCUAGCGUUGUUCGGAAUUACUGGGCGUAAAGCGCACGUAGGCGGAUUUUUAAGUCAGAUGUGAAAUCCCGAGGCUCAACCUCGGAACUGCAUUUGAAACUGGAAGUCUAGAGAUCAGGAGAGGUUAGUGGAAUACCGAGUGUAGAGGUGAAAUUCGUAGAUAUUCGGUGGAACACCAGUGGCGAAGGCGACUAACUGGACUGAUACUGACGCUGAGGUGCGAAAGUGUGGGGAGCAAACAGGAUUAGAUACCCUGGUAGUCCACACCGUAAACGAUGAGAGCUAGUUGUCUGCAGGCAUGCCUGUAGGUGACGCAGCUAACGCAUUAAGCUCUCCGCCUGGGGAGUACGGCCGCAAGGUUAAAACUCAAAGAAAUUGACGGGGGCCCGCACAAGCGGUGGAGCAUGUGGCUUAAUUCGAAGCAACGCGCAGAACCUUACCUACGCUUGACAUGCCUGGACGACUCCGAGAGAUCGGUUUCUCCCUUCGGGGCCAGUGCACAGGUGCUGCAUGGCUGUCGUCAGCUCGUGUCGUGAGAUGUUGGGUUAAGUCCCGCAACGAGCGCAACCCUCAUCCUUAGUUGCCAUCACGUUUGGGUGGGCACUCUAGGGUAACUGCCGGUGCUAAGCCGGAGGAAGGCGGGGAUGACGUCAAGUCCUCAUGGCCCUUACGCGUAGGGCUACACACGUGCUACAAUGGCAGUGACAAUGGGAUAAUCCCCAAAAGCUGUCUCAGUUCGGAUUGUCGGCUGCAACUCGCCGGCAUGAAGUUGGAAUCGCUAGUAAUCGUGGAUCAGCAUGCCACGGUGAAUACGUUCCCGGGCCUUGUACACACCGCCCGUCACAUCAUGGGAGUUGGUUCUACCCGAAGACUGUGUGCUAACUUCGGGGGCAGCAGGCCACGG